This 449-nucleotide ribosomal RNA is filed under the name uncultured Anaerolineaceae bacterium. Its description in RNAcentral is "bacterial SSU rRNA". It matches the Rfam family "Bacterial small subunit ribosomal RNA", at positions 921 to 1382 of the family's 1533-position model. The record is from RNAcentral. Lineage: Bacteria; Bacillati; Chloroflexota; Anaerolineae; Anaerolineales; Anaerolineaceae.
CCGACAAGCGGUGGAUGAUGUGGUUUAAUUCGAUGCAACGACGAAAACCUUAACCCACCUUUGACAUGGCGAGGAAUCCUGAAGAGAUUUGGGAGUGCUCGAAAGAGAACCUGCACACAGGUGCUGCAUGGCUGUCGUCAGCUCGUGUCGUGAGAUGUUGGGUUAAGUCCGCUAACGAGCGCAACCCUCGUCGUAUGUUAUAUGUGUCAUACGAGACUGCCGGUAAAAGCCGGAGGAAGGUGAGGAUGAUGUCAAGUCAGCAUGACCUUUAUAUCCAGGGCUACACACACGCUACAAUGGUCUGUACAAUGGGUAGCCAAGCCGCGAGGCGGAGCCAAUCCUGAAAGCAGGCCUCAGUUCAGAUUGCAGUCUGCAACUCGACUGCAUGAAGCCGGAGUUGCUAGUAACCGCAGGUCAGCAAUACUGCGGUGAAUACGUUCCCGGGUCUU